Molecule: ribosomal RNA, 253 nt
Filed under: uncultured bacterium
Lineage: Bacteria
Description: partial 16S ribosomal RNA
Rfam family: Bacterial small subunit ribosomal RNA
Source: RNAcentral
UACGAAGGGAGCUAGCGUUGUUCGGAAUCACUGGGCGUAAAGCGCACGUAGGCGGAUGUGUCAGUCAGGGGUGAAAUCCCGGAGCUCAACUUCGGAACUGCCUUUGAUACAGCACGUCUUGAGUCCGAUAGAGGUGGGUGGAAUUCCGAGUGUAGAGGUGAAAUUCGUAGAUAUUCGGAAGAACACCAGUGGCGAAGGCGGCUCACUGGACUGGUAUUGACGCUGAGGUGCGAAAGCGUGGGGAGCAAACAGG